CAUGUCUUAGGACUAGAUAGUUAGUAGUGGGAUGAGUGAGAAUAAAGACACCAGAGCUGGGGAUUCCUGCCAUCUUGUUAGACACCACCACCUGUUUACAGUUAUGAAAGACUGGGUACAUAGUGAAAAUUAAUGUCCACAUAUGCCAUUCCUGUUGUGGCCAUCUAACAAGCUGUUAGAGCAUCUCAGAACACACAUCAAACCUUGAGGUGGAUGGGCUACAACAGCAGAAGACCACAUCAAAACCUGUUUCUCUGAGGCUAUUACAGGGAGAAAAUAAAGGAACACCCAUGAAUGAAGCUCCUGUACCUGUAUUCUUCAGCAUAAUGAGGUGUCUAUAAAGCUCUCCUGUACCUGUGUGUAUUACGUCAGACAUGUUCAAAAACCACCUGUAUCUGUGUGGGCUCUGAAGUGUGUUCCAAAAUCACCUGUACCACCCAUUUGUUCUCAGAAGUGUUUAAAGCUUGCCUGUACUUGUCCAUGUUCUGAGGUGUUUCUCAAAAAUCACCUGUAUCUUUCUGUUGGAAAUGUGUGUAUGAAGCACACUUGUACCUGUGUGUUUUCCUACAUUCUACUGAGUUCUCCAACAUUCUACAGUACUUAUUAAUCUCACCUGUACCUGUGUAUGUUUCCAUGUGUGUAUUUUCAGCCAAAAUUCUUCCACAGCAAAGUGAAAGACUGAUCUCCAGUUAUCAGAAACAUUUGGCUACAGUUGUUGCUGCUAAAGCUGGCACAACCAGUUAUUAAAUUUAGGUGCAAUUACUUUUUCACAUGGAUGAUGUACGUGCUGCAUAACCUUUUUCCGUCAGCAAAUUAAAUUAGAAUUUAAAAACUGGGUAUUCUGUUUCCUCAUAUUCUCCUUGUCUUACAUUACAUUUCGUAUGAUGAUCUGAUUUAUUGUAACAAAUAUUCAAAAAUAGAUCAAAUCAGAAGAAGGCAAAUACGUUUCCAUGGCACUGUGUAAUACCUGUUGUUUUAUAUUCACAAACUAAAAAAAUUGCAUCAACCUACAGAAUGAGCAGCAAAACACAGAUAAAGUGUGUUUCUAAGGCAUAAAGUUUGGCAUUAAAUUCAUCUUAAAUUCACAGUGAAGGUAAAAAAGAGCAGUAAUUUUGUGUGGCAAACUGUGCAUGAAAGUUUUUGUUAAAACACAAACCAACACCAUUCGUAAUCCAAGCACCACUUUUCCCCAUUACAUAAAUAAAGACAUUGUUAACCAGAGCACCUUGCAGAUUUUCAUUAGGCUAACACAGAUUA
This is a long non-coding RNA of Pangasianodon hypophthalmus (striped catfish), 1257 nucleotides long. RefSeq lists it as uncharacterized. The transcript is spliced from 3 exons. Lineage: Eukaryota; Metazoa; Chordata; Actinopteri; Siluriformes; Pangasiidae. The record is from RefSeq and is a predicted model, not a curated record.